Molecule: non-coding RNA, 957 nt
Organism: Electrophorus electricus (electric eel)
Lineage: Eukaryota; Metazoa; Chordata; Actinopteri; Gymnotiformes; Gymnotidae
Source: RefSeq, a predicted model, not a curated record
UGACAAUUGUAUUGUAAACCAACAGCCCACUCAUUUUGUUCCGAUCUCUUUGUAGUGUGAGGGUAACUGUGCCUUUGGAUCGGAUUGGUAGUUCAUAUUUGUCAAGCAGACACAGAAAGGAUGAACCAGAGGAACACUGGGACCACUACACUGAAUGAUCAGCUAUGGGGACAAGAUAGUUCGACCAACAUCAGCGUGUUUUACAGACUUGGACAAGUUGUAGUCUUAAACUAAAUUAGACUGCCAGCAGGGACUCACUAUUAAAUUCUUCAAAUCUAUGGUUAGGCUUGAUAUGUAUCCCGAAAUCUGUAUGUUAACAGUUUUUAACAUUGUGUGUUACUUUUUAACUUUAUUUUUGCAGCCUUCAUACCUUAUUUAUUACUAUUUAAUAUCGCCCUCUAGUGGUAUUCAAACUGACAAAUCACUGUACUUGUGUGCCUAUACUAAAUAUAAUUUUAACAAAAGCACACUGAUAGAAGACAUUUGUGGCUGAUAUAAUCCCCAAUAAAGAAAAGGCUUUAUUUCUUCCAAUACAGUUAAAGAAACAUCAGAUGCCAAAAAUAUAACAUUUGCUUGGCUUUUCUCUUUGCUUUCAUAUAUGUACAGUUCAAAGGAUAUAAUAUUUACAGAGUAAAAAAAUAGGAGAGGUGGGGGUCAAAGUCUACCUUUUGGGGAUUUCAAGAAACUCCCCCACCUCACCAAUAAACAAAGAAAAUCAACAAACAAAAUAUGCCACAACUCUUGCAGCAUAAACUCUUUUCUGUACACAAGAGAUCUGGACUCCAAACUACUUUCAAAUGUCCUGAAAGAGUUACACAAUGUCUAAUAUUCUGGGUGUGAUCUGAAGCAGUUCUCACAUAAGAGAUUAAAACCCCUUUUACCUUGUUUUUUUAAACAAUAAUUGAACAAAAAGUAAUUACAACUGGGGGUGUUAGCAGAAAGCAGAUGGCUGUUCCA